UACAGAGGGUGCAAGCGUUGUUCGGAAUUAUUGGGCGUAAAGCGCGUGUAGGUGGCUUGGCAAGUCGGGUGUGAAAGCCCUCAGCUCAACUGAGGAAGUGCGCCCGAAACUGCUGGGCUUGAGUGCCGGAGAGGGUGGCGGAAUUCUCCAAGUAGAGGUGAAAUUCGUAGAUAUGGGGAGGAACACCGGUGGCGAAGGCGGCCACCUGGACGGUGACUGACGCUGAGACGCGAAAGCGUGGGGAGCAAACAGGA
This 254-nucleotide ribosomal RNA is filed under the name uncultured prokaryote. RNAcentral's name for it is "partial 16S ribosomal RNA". It matches the Rfam family "Bacterial small subunit ribosomal RNA", at positions 524 to 777 of the family's 1533-position model. The record is from RNAcentral.